RNAcentral lists this transfer RNA (68 nucleotides) under Bembidion varium. Its description in RNAcentral is "tRNA-Trp". The record is from RNAcentral. Lineage: Eukaryota; Metazoa; Arthropoda; Insecta; Coleoptera; Carabidae.
AAGGAUUUAAGUUAAUUAACCAAACUAGUAGCCUUCAAAGCUGAAAACAAAGAGAGCUUUAAGCCUUA